UGAUCAAGUGAUGAGAAAAAUAACUGCAACAAAAUGAUAUUUGUUUGUGAUUAUUAUCUGUAUUUAAGUCUCUGAUGAUGAACAAAUAUUUGUUUAAAUUUACUACUUUUAUUGUUUGUUAAUUUGGAGAAAUGAUGAGGAAUUAAUUGGUCCGUGUUUCUGAAUUAUCCGUGACCGACAACCUUUAACCACUUCUGAUCUC
Molecule: long non-coding RNA, 202 nt
Filed under: Helianthus annuus (common sunflower)
Lineage: Eukaryota; Viridiplantae; Streptophyta; Magnoliopsida; Asterales; Asteraceae
Description: sRNA HanXRQr2_Chr06g0245731
Rfam family: Small nucleolar RNA Z199 (bases 1-80)
Source: RNAcentral